CGGGGAGUAGGGGAUGGCGGUGGGUCGAGCCCCCUGGGUCCGAGACCAGGGGACUCAGGUUCGAGUCCUGUCUCCCCGACCA
This 82-nucleotide transfer RNA is filed under the name Archangium violaceum. RNAcentral describes it as "tRNA-Arg". The record is from RNAcentral. Lineage: Bacteria; Pseudomonadati; Myxococcota; Myxococcia; Myxococcales; Archangiaceae.